GAAGCCGGAAUUGCUAGUAAUGGCAGGUCAGCAUACUGCCGUGAAUACGUUCCCGGGCCCUUGUACACACCGCCCGUCACACCAUGAGAGUUGGGAAUACCCGAAGCCUGUGAGCUAACUUUAAGAGGCAGCAGUCGAAGGUAGAAUCAAUGAUUGGGGUGAAGUCGUAACAAGGUACC
This 179-nucleotide ribosomal RNA is filed under the name uncultured bacterium. RNAcentral describes it as "partial 16S ribosomal RNA". It matches the Rfam family "Bacterial small subunit ribosomal RNA", at positions 1322 to 1500 of the family's 1533-position model. The record is from RNAcentral.